GGCUAACGCUGGCGGCGUGUCUUAGCCAUGCAAGUCGAGCGGACUUAUGGGGUAACUUAUAAGUCAGCGGCGGACGGCGGAGUAACACGUAGCUAACCUACCCUCUGGACGGGGAUAACCUACCGAAAGGUGGGCUAAUACCCGAUGUAGUCAUCCUGUAUAGGGGUGAUGAAAGGUGGGCUUCUGUUUACAAGCUCAUGCUGGAGGAGGGGGCUGCGGCCUAUCAGGUAGUUGGUAGGGUAAUAGCCUACCAAGCCGAUGACGGGUAGCCGGCCUGAGAGGGUGACCGGCCCGAGGGGCACUGAGAUACGGGUCCCACUCCUACGGGAGGCAGCAGGCUAGAAAUUUGGGCAAUGGGGGAAACCCUGACCCAGUGACGCCGCGUGCAGGAAGGAGCCCUUCGGGGUGUAACGUGCUGUCGUGUAGGGAGAAGGGGUACUAAGGUGAACAAUCUUAGUACUUGACGGUACUACAGGAGGAAGCCCAGGCUAACCUCGUG
Molecule: ribosomal RNA, 499 nt
Filed under: uncultured bacterium
Lineage: Bacteria
Description: bacterial SSU rRNA
Rfam family: Bacterial small subunit ribosomal RNA
Source: RNAcentral